GAACUCAACGUCACAAAAUGCCGAAACUACCCUUUUUAUUUGCCACAAUUCCAUUUCCAGGCCAUCUUCCUCCCUCCUCACAGAGAAGCCGGUAACGAACUCAACGUCACAAAAUGCUGAAACUACCCUUAUUAUUUGCCACAACUCCAUUCCCCACCCUGUUCUUCCUCCUCGUCCUCUCCAUAUUUCAGGUAAUUUCCCAAAAUUUGGACGAUGAACGAUCAAUCCUACUAGACGUUAAACAACAACUGGGCAAUCCACCGUCACUCCAAUCGUGGAAUUCCUCAUCCUCGCCCUGUGAUUGGCGGGAAAUUACAUGCACCGACAAUACCGUCACUGCAAUUUCACUCCACAAUAAGACCAUCAGAGAGAAAAUUCCAGCCACAAUUUGUGACCUCAAGAACCUCAUCGUACUUGACCUUUCCAACAAUUACAUUCCCGGCGAGUUCUCGGAUAUUCUCAAUUGUUCCAAGCUUGAGUAUCUGCUCUUGUUGCAAAACUCCUUCGUGGGUCCAAUUCCAGCUGAUAUUGAUCGACUUUCACGUCUCCGGUACCUAGACCUCACAACAAACAACUUCUCUGGAGAUAUUCCCGCAGCAAUUGGGAGGCUACGGGAGCUGUUCUACUUGCUUCUGGUUCAAAAUGAGUUCAACGGCACCUGGCCAACGGAGAUUGGUAAUUUGGCGAAUCUUGAACAAUUGGCCAUGGCCUAUAAUGACAAAUUCCGGCCUUCAGCCCUUCCAAAAGAGUUUGGCGCAUUGAAGAAGUUGAAAUAUCUGUGGAUGACGCAGGCGAAUUUGAUUGGCGAAAUACCGGAGAGCUUCAACCAUCUGUCGAGUCUGGAACACUUGGAUCUCUCACUCAACAAAUUAGAAGGUACGAUCCCUGGAGUCAUGCUUACGUUGAAGAAUUUGACCAAUUUGUAUUUAUUCAAUAAUAGAUUGUCCGGCCGCAUUCCUUCAUCCAUAGAAGCUCUCAACUUGAAAGAAAUUGAUCUUUCCAAGAACCAUUUGACGGGGUCGAUACCAGCGGGUUUCGGGAAGCUACAAAAUUUGACCGGUCUGAAUCUUUUCUAGAAUCAGUUGUCAGGAGAGAUACCAGUAAAUAUAAGCCUCAUUCCUACACUGGAAACUUUCAAAGUUUUUAGCAAUCAAUUGAGUGGAGUUUUGCCUCCAGCAUUUGGCCUUCAUUCGGAGCUCAAACGCUUUGAGGUUUCCAAGAAUAAACUAAGCGGGGAAUUACCUCAACAUUUAUGCGCUAGGGGGGCUUUGCUUGGAGUGGUUGCUUCCAACAACAAUCUCAGCGGGGAAGUGCCCAAGUCCCUCGGGAAUUGCACAAGUUUGCUCACCAUUCAGCUUUCCAACAAUCGCUUUUCAGGUGAGAUUCCUUCCGACAUCUGGACAUCCCCGGACAUGAUAUGGGUGAUGUUAGCUGGAAAUUCAUUCUCGGGGACACUUCCAAGUAAAUUGGCAAGGAAUUUGUCCAGAGUGGAGAUCAGUAACAACAAGUUUUCUGGUCCAAUUCCUGCUGAAAUCUCUUCUUGGAUGAACAUAGCUGUGCUCAAUGCCCGCAACAAUAUGUUGUCAGGAAAAAUUCCAGUGGAAUUGACCAGUCUUCGGAACAUCUCUGUUAUGUUGCUUGAUGGGAAUCAAUUCUCGGGUGAGCUUCCAUCCGAGAUCAUCUCAUGGAAGUCGCUCAAUAAUUUGAAUCUCUCAAGAAACAAACUUUCUGGCCCAAUUCCCAAGGCAUUAGGUUCUUUACCUAACCUUAAUUACCUUGACCUGUCAGAAAACCAGUUCUCAGGUCAAAUUCCUCCUGAACUUGGUCAUUUGACGCUUAAUAUCCUCGAUCUAUCGUUCAACCAACUCUCUGGGAUGGUCCCCAUUGAGUUUCAAUAUGGAGGAUAUGAACACAGUUUCUUGAACGAUCCCAAGCUGUGUGUCAAUGUUGGCACUCUGAAACUCCCUAGAUGUGAUGCCAAAGUCGUUGACUCCGACAAAUUGUCAACCAAAUAUCUCAUUAUGAUCCUAAUUUUUGUUGUAUCUGGUUUCCUAGCUGUUGUUUUGUUCACCCUGCUCAUGGUUCAAGAUGAUAAUAGGAAGAAUCACAGUCGAGACCAUACACCUUGGAAGGUUACCCAAUUCCAAACACUAUAUUUCAAUGAACAGUACAUAUUGACCAGUUUGACAGAAAAUAAUUUGAUCGGACGCAGUGGUCAGGGGAAAUAUACCGAAUUGCUAAUAACUGUUCUGGUGAACUCCUAGCGGUUAAAAAGAUUUGUAAUAACAGGAGAUUGGAUCACAAGCUUCAGAAACAAUUCAUAGCAGAAGUCGAGAUAUUGGGCACCAUACGCCAUUCCAAUAUAGUGAAGUUGUUGUGCUGCAUAUCGAAUGAAAGCUCAAGCCUUCUUGUUUAUGAGUACAUGGAGAAGCAGAGUUUGGAUAGAUGGCUUCAUGGGAAGAAGCAGAGAACAACGUCCAUGACAAGUUCAGUCCAUAACUUUGUCUUGGAUUGGCCAACAAGGUUGCAGAUUGCUAUCGGAGCUGCAAAAGGCCUAUGCCACAUGCAUGAAAACUGCUCUGCCCCGAUCAUACAUCGAGAUGUGAAGUCCAGCAACAUCUUGCUAGAUGCCGAGUUCAAAGCAAAAAUUGCGGAUUUUGGAUUGGCCAAGAUGUUGGUCAAGCAAGGAGAGCCCGACACCAUGUCAGGAAUUGCAGGCUCUUACGGAUAUAUUGCCCCUGGUAAGACCAUCAAGGCCCUCCUUUCCACAUGUUUUCAUUUCCAUAAUUUAUCAAUAAUUUUUAUCAUACAAUUCUUGUAUACUUGGAUGAUAGAGUAUGCUUAUACAACAAAGGUGAACGAAAAGAUCGAUGUAUAUAGCUUUGGAGUAGUCCUGCUUGAGCUAGUGACGGGGAGAGAACCCAACAACGGGGACGAGCUCAUGUGCCUUGUAGAAUGGGCAUGGGAUCAGUUCAGAGAAGGGAAAACCAUUGAGGAAGUGAUGGAUGAGGAUAUCAAGGAACAAUGUGAAAGAGCACAAGUGACCACUCUCUUCAGUCUAGGCCUCAUGUGCACCACCAGAUCACCAGCCACUAGGCCCACAAUGAAGGAAGUUUUGGAAAUUCUUCGACAAUGCAGUCCUCAGGAGGGCCAUGGAAGAAAGAAAAAGGACCAUGAAGUUGCACCCUUACUUCAAAAUGGCACUUGCCCCGCUACUUACAAGCAUAACGAGAAGGGAUCAGACAAUGAGGAUGACGAUAAAUUAGUUUGAAAUUUACAGCUUGUAAAUAAGUGUAAGAAAGCUUGUAAAUUAAAGGUGGUAGUGAUCUUAGGAAGUGUGUUUAGCCUUUUUAUAAUACUUGAAAAAUAAAAAUUUGCAAGUGUUAAAAGGUUAAAAACACUGUUGGAGGUACCUAACAUCUGCAUAUCUUUAAUACACCACCUCCCAAAUGAGGUAAUUGGAAACGCACAAAAUCACCUCAUCCCAAAACUAGGACCAUAAAAGAAGACGACCUCUCGGUCCUGCGGGAUGACCUGACUAAUUGACCUAUGCCUAGAAAAACGAAUCCAACUACCCGUCUCCUCAUGUGCCCAAAAGUCAACCAUGCCUCUGAUAUGCUGCAAAAAACCAAUACUUCAUGAUCCUUCACAAGGAAAAGUGGCUAUAAAAGGGGAGCCUUUUCCUCCUCUAAUGACUCUCUCUCUCAGCCUCUAAAAGAAAGCUGUAGAAAAUGUAGAAAAUGCAUUUCUAUACCCGGAAAAUAGUGGAAUGAAAUCUCCAAUAUUUUCCUUGAAGAAUUUUGGAUUCUUCAUUGGCAUAAUGGAGGACCGAGAGUGAAGUUUAAUCAGUCCAAAGGGAUUUGGAUGUCAAUUCUAUCUUUGUUCAACAUCCAAUAUCUUCCACUAUAAGCAAAAACAACAGCAAAAACAUCAACAACAAAAUUUUCUAGGGGAGUUUUCCUUUAGUUUUUUCUUCUCCUUUUAUAAAUCUUCCUUUAAUCACUUUUGUUUUGCGUAAUAUUCAAGAAAAUGUCAACUUUGUAGCUUUAGGAAAAUGAGCAACUAACCUCUCGAUUAUCUCUUUGUUUUGGGUUUUUCUAGUACCACUUGUGAUUGGUUGUUCCUUAGAAUUGAAAACAAGAAAAUAUGGAUCGAAAUAGCAGCUCACAAGCCUUUGUUUCAUGCUAAGCAAUUCUUGAAUAUUAUGGAGUUCUAGGGAAACAUGUCCACUUGCAAUCUGCAGCUUCAGGUUUUAUGAUUUAGGCCUCAAGCACCAUGGUUUAGCCAUCUCAAUCAGUUGUUGAAGGGGACAAUGUCUAACCAAUUUCAAAGGGUACAACCUCACAAAUCCUCGAUCUCAAUAUCGCCUCAGGUAAAUAGAUAAACCUAGAAACCUAACCUAACAAAGGUACCUAUUCUUUAACCAAAUAGUUGAUCAAAAGCUACAAAUCUUUGAAGAAUGCAAUAUCCAAAAGCUAAAAAACUUUGCAGAAGUGUUUGUACUAUAUAAUCUCCACCUUGACUAUCCAGACAAUCUCCACCUCGACUAUCCAGGUGAUCUCCACCUUGAUUAUCCAGACAAUUUUCAUCUCGGGCAGUCGGAGGUACCUCAUUCUCAAAUACCAACAAAGUAACCCAAUUUGUACUUGUCAACCAAUACACAUAUCCUCACAAUUGAUUGUUUAACCCUUAUCAAAUCAACCACCCAAGAUAUGUUGGGCCUUGUUCAACUGGCUCAAGAGUUUGCCCAACCUCCCACCUGCUCAGCAUGCAUAUGUUAGAAAUGUCUAACUCCUUCUUUCAGAUAAAAUUGGUUGACAGUUUUAUGCUUGGUUGAAGCCACUCAUAUAGAAUUUGGGAGCCAUAACAAUUACCAACAAUGUAUGAAGGAGGCAAACUUUGAGGCACCUCAAAUAUUCAAGAGUUAGAUACAACUUAAGAGGUUAUUUAUCUUACCUAACCUCAACAGGAAGUCAUCAAAAAGCACAAGUACAAUCUUGAUGUCAACUCACAUACAUAUCAGCCAAAUGGAAGAAAGUCUUGUCACCUAAGCAAGCGAUCAACUAAAGUUCAGAUAAGUCUUCUCUAACAUAUUUAUCUUAUAAUCUUUGGUUAAUUUCAUUUGUUUCAUUUUACAAGGACUAAUUGUGAAAAACAAACACCUUUCAAGUUAGGAAAACCUUCCAACUAAAAAUCUAAGGUUGAAUUAGUCUCAAAACAAAAACUCUUAUUAAUAGUCUAGCUAAAAACAAACGGUCAAGGUGAGUGACCAAACAAAAAACCUCGACCUAAAACCCACUUCUGGCAUUAGUCCUCUCAAUUCUAGAUGUACUUUGUUGAACCAUCCCUGUGGUCAUACAUGGAAAUUACCUUGAUGCAAAACUGACCUCUCACUCUUCUAGAGAUGGAUCACCUGUGUGCUUUGUGGACCUUCAAGUAAAGGUCGCACUUGUACACAAGCUCUAUCUCUAGGUAUGAGUUAACUUUAUGCCAAACCAACCUCCCUCUAUGAGCAUGUGUUAUCCUUGUGCCAAAACCUAAGUGGUCAAUUCCAACAAUUCCAGUGUAUAAAAGAACUUAACCUGAAUAUUUUUCUACUAUCCACUCUAAAAGCAUUACAUGCAAACUAAAUGAUUGAACUUGCCUAUUGACUUGUGGCAUAAGAAUUAUUUCAGGGCAAAACAAGUUACGAAAUAAGUCCACCUCAUGAUUAGAUCACUUAAACAACAGAUCGAGAAACUCAAGCUAGCAAAUAAUGAUAACCUCUUAAUCAAGAGUAACAAGUUGGGGAACCUAGCUAGAAAGGUUGGCCCUAGCAGAAAGGCAUCCAAGACCCUUACCUCACAUAAGGGGAAGUGGGUGGGAAGAAAAAAACUAGGUCUCGAAUAAUGAAGUAUGACAUCAGAAUUUACAACAAACAACUUGGGAUUUGUGUGUUAUCUAUCUAUGUUACUUCCAAUUUGUGAUUGGAUACAAUAUGAAGGAAUCUCGAAAAAUAGCAUCACAAGACACAACCUUAUUAUUAGUUGGCCCCAAACUGAAAAUCAUUCAAAUGUGAAAGCUUUGAGUUGAACAAUGUUGGGACGUAAAUGCAAAAAAUUAUCUACGGAGGUUCAUUAGUUAAAAUUGCAAGUCAACUCAGCCUAAGAGGCAUCAAAGCAGUAGAACUGAGAAUGUGCAUCACCUACAACUUCCUAUUUAUUUCAAAAAAAACUACAUAUCCGUUAUGUGGCCUUAAAGUUCAACCUGCAUAAGAAACCCAAUCGAGCAUCUUUACCAUUGUUAGCAACUCAUGAUACUAGCUAACAAUUGUGAAUGACUACUCUUCUGAGUUUUCCCUAUUAACUUACAACGACCUACUAUCAUAUGGUUCUACUAAUUGUCUGGAUAGUCAAUACAUAGCUCCGCUAACUCUAUGAACUAUUCCUAAAAUAUUACAGCAACAACCCCCAACCAAGGAAAAAUGCAAACUACCUCGUUAAUGUAAGGUAAACACCUAAGGAAUCCUUGAUAAAAUUUGUUUAGUUAUUCAUAUCAGAAAUAGUGCAAGUAGAAAGCAAUGAUCAAAGAACUAUGACAAAGGCCUUUAGAAAAGCCUUGUCUACAAGAAGUCCACUACUUGGGUCAUUAGUAAGGGAUAACCUUCCCCACAUACCAGAUCAAGCUAGAUGAACAACUUGAAUUAAACCUUACAGAAAAAGCUACGAUAUCACAAUUCGCACAAUCAACACCUACCUACUUGACAAGGCUGAGGGAAAAAAUCAAGUGGCAAUCAAAUCAAUGUUAGUCACAACACAACUAGAAGAAAAGUUGGUUUGAUAUAGGAAGUUCAACCAAUAUAUUCUUUGACAACUUCUUUCAGCAAAUGAAUAAGUCAUGACUUUGACUCGAAUUGUAAGCUCUUAUGGAAAAUCUUCCAAUGCCUAGAUUAACUUGACCUUGGAGCAAAAGUAGAACUAAAGUCUCUUUCCUGAUGAAAAAGUCUCAGUCUCCUUACAACAUCAUUCUCAAGCAACAUUUUGUGGAUGCAGUAUCUCCAUCUUACAAUAAGAUGCUUGAGUUGGGAAAGAGAUCUAACAAUGAUAUUAUGCUUAAAUUCCAAAUCCAUCUCAACCUGAGAUAGCUCCGCAAAAAGGUUAACCAAACAGGAUGACAUACUCAUCCCCUAAUCUGGUUCAAAUGAGAAGAGUGCAUCAAAAACAACAAAGUAUCACCAAAAAAAUAACACAAAAUGAGGAACGAGUGGUAACUACAUUGACCUUAAUAAAGUUUGUCCUAAAAUUAGUUCUCCCCCGCCAAAGAUGGGCCAACUUUUGGACUCAAUAUCAUAACAUGAGGAAAAAAAGGUUCAAGAACCCUCAACCAUCUUGUGAGCUUACUCAACUAAAAGCAAAGGAGCAUUAAUCGUAAUGUUGAUCCAUCAAGAAUGAUAAACAAAAACUACAACCAAAAGGUAGAGACUCUUACAGGUGCUAAAACAGGUAUUCAAAAUAACCUCAUAAAAGGUGUGUUUGUGACCCCAACUUGAUGGUAGCAAAGUGCCCAAACCAUGAAACCAAGCACACCUAAAAAGGUACUAUGUCUAAACUAUAUAGCUAGUUUUAACAAUUUUGGAAUGUUUUAAUUACCUCAAUAAACUUCGCACCUUAUCUCGAUCCUCACGUAUGUGCUUGCUAAAGUGAAAUUUGCAAGAUUGAGAAAGACUGGGCAAUAAUCCUCUAGGAAGAGUUGUUCAUACAACUGAGAUCUAAGCCCUAUUACCAAAAGACAACCAAAGCCAAGCAAUUGGUUGAACCUCAUCUGGUCUAUAUUAAUUAGAAUUAUGAUCAAUUUUGUUAGCCAAGAACUAAAACAAUUAUCAUUUGGGACCAUUCACCUCUCUAAGAAGUCAAGGUCAUAAUUUGUCACUUCCUCUGGCCAAAUAAGUGGGUCUAUAAGCCUGCAACACUACACAUAUUUCCCCAAUCUUCCCUACCAUGUAUCAAACUAAAUUUCACUAAGCAACAAUUAGUACACAUUUUUUAUCACACAAAACCCACACAACAACAAAAAGUUGAAUAAGCCCAAUAAUUGGCACAACGCACAUAAAGUGUGGUCAUCAACACCCCACAAACAACAGAAAGAAAGAGAAAAAAAACUAACAUUGACACAAUUCAUCAAAGUUGCAAUCAUCAAAAUUAGCAAAACAAUGUAGCAAAAGAAAAAAACCCCACAUAAGCACCAUUCAUCAAAGUAUUCUCCUAAUGAAGUGUAAAAAAAUGGUCAUCCUCAUCAUAAUGGUCUAAAGUAUGGAAAAUACCGCCAUCAUCAAGGAGACUUUAGCAAAUGAGUUAUAACAAGUACAAGAGGGUCAUACUCUUUGCUCUUACUAGCAAGCCUAGUCUUGUUUAUAUUAAAGCUCUUGAUGCAAAGGCAUAUCAACCCCACACCUAUAAAUGAGGUAGAAAGAUUUGUAUCACCAUUUGAUUGUUCGCCUUGACCUGAUCAUCCAAUAUGCAUGGAAGCUGAUCAUUGGGAUCCUCAACACUUGUGAAUAAAACAAAAAUGAGUAAGACGUGUCAACCUCAUCAACAAACAUCAUAUCCUUGGCAAAAGUGGGAAUCAAACACAAAGAUUUUUUCUUUCUCGCCAUUCCUAGGGAAGAUCAAGACCUAAACCCACUCAUAGACACUCUUAUAUCAAAUACUAAGAGGAAUCAUGUGAUCCUUCGAAGACCCAACCUCAUCACAUGCAGAAUUGGGUCAUCACCAACUAAGCCCUGAUCAAUGCUUAACACUUAAGUGAAACAAAAGACAACUAAAUACAAACGAAAAGAAAGCUAGCGACAAGCAAAGAAACCACUUAAAAUGUCAAAACUAGACAAGCCAACGUCCUCAACUUGAGCUACAUCUAGUUGGAACUAUUUGAUUGAACUUAUGGCAUGACUUGAACUCAAAGCAAAGGUUUCCACACGAACAUUCGAUUGAGCUACUUACUCCAAUAUGACACCUCAAACAAGACUUUGUAAUACAAAACCAUAUCUCACAAUUGCAACACCAGCUAAAACAACAACAAAAUAAGCAUCAACAACAAAUGGAAAAUAUCCCGGCACGCCAAAAUGACCUCAUAGAUCAACUACAAAACAGCCUAGCCAAUUCACGGCCACUAGGCUAACCAAAUUGACGUUGGGAGGAAAGUGCAACGAGUUGCAUGCAUGAAGCCCCAUCAACCUGGGUUAAACCAAAAAAAACUAGCCAUCAUUAGCACACUAUCCGAGAUCGUUACAAAGUCCUACCCUCUUCUAGUCAUAGAAGAUGUCAGGACUUGGGAGGGACUAGAGGUACCAAAAAUUAACAUAUCUUUAAUACACCACCUCCCAAACAAGGUACAUGAAAAGACACAAAAUCAUCUCAUCCUAAAACCAAGACCAUAAAAGAAGAUGACCUCUCAGACUUGUAGGAUGACAUGACUACAAUCUUGAAGUUGUACUUCUAUAGUUGGGCCCUAAAAGAGAACCCGGUAGGGAGGAAGGGCAGCAUAUAAACCUUGUCCAAUGGGCAUGGUAGCACCUUUGAGGAAGAAAGUCGUUUGUGAAAGCAUUGGAUGAGAAGAUCAUGGCACAAUGCUACUUCAAAAAAAUGAGCACUAUAUUCCUAAUAAUCAAACUUAAUCAUGAAAACUUUGAAAAUAGUGAGAAUUCUCUUACCUACAAGUAUAAAGACAAAUAGACGGAAGGUAAAUAAAUCAUUAAUAGAACUUAAAAUAAUAAAUUGAGCAAAUAAACAUAUGGUAAAAUUGGAACUCAUGAUCCUCCUACUAAAUAAUACCAUAUUGGAUAACUAAAUUUUUUAAGAACUUAAACAUAAGAUUUGGAUCUUUAUGAUCGUGUAUCAUGCUUUCUAAUAAUAUAUUAAAUACUUUUCUAGAUUUUGUGUUGACUUGUGAUUACUUCUCUAAAUCAAUUUUUCAGCAUCCUAUAUAUAUGUAUUUGUUAGGAUGGAUCAAUUUUUCAGAAUCAAUUAUCAAAGAAUGCAAAAAUAUAACUCCUCAUAGAGUCUCUUGUUUUUCCUCUACGACUUAAAAGAAGUCCUUAGUGCUUUCACAAGGAAAUAGGAUAAUUUUUUUUAUCUUCAAACCUGCACAAAGAUAUGGAAACCAUAUCAUUGAAAUAAUUAAAACGGAAAACAACUGGAAUCAAAGUGCUAUUGCCUUAUUUUUUUUAAAAAAAAAAAUCUUGGGCUUUAUGCAAAACUAAACAUUAGUUGCCUAAAUCUCCUUAAUUGGAAUACUAGAUGGGUGUAUCAAUUCAACUUGACACCUUCUUCCAUAAAUACCAAAAAUGAUAUUUGUUUUGGGAACAAGACUAGAGUUUUGAGCAGAUAUAAUACAUUUAUGAAAAAAAGAUAAUAAAAUGGAUUUUCAACUAAAAUAAUUCCCAAGCUAGUACAUUUCAACUAUGUGCGUAUCCGUAUGGCGUGAGAAUGUUUUUUUUUUUUAUAUGUUCUUUUAUAUCACAACUAUAAUUAGUAACUAGGAUUUUGAUUUUUUUAACAUAAAAUCAUAGAUAGAUAUUAUAAUUUUAAAUUUAUUUUUAAAAUCACAGUCAUCAACUAUAGUUUUAAGUUUAAAUUUAAAAUCAUAGUUAGUAACUAUUAUUUUAACCAUUUUCCAAAAAAAAUCAAAAUUAUAAUUAAUAACUACGAUUUUAUGAUAUGAAACACUCCAAUUUGAAAAUUAUUUUGAGAGGGGAUCUACUUUGUAGAUUUUUAUUUUAAAAAAAAUAAAUUAUUUUUCCUCAAACCUCAAAAAACAAACUUGUUUAGAACUAAAUUCAAUUAUACACUUCUCUAAUUUUUCUUUACCCUAAUAGAAGAUCAAUUCCAUUUUAUCACUUUUCCACCAGAAUCCUCAUGACUACUUGUAGAAUUCUUGAGAUGAAAUGAAAGAGUGGUAUGAGAUGCUUGUUUAAACUUUAGUUUCAAUCUCGAUCAAUGUUGUCCAUUCCCUUAGCUGUGCAUUAUUCCAAUGCCAGUUUUCCUCCAUAAACUCCAGGUACAAGAUUAGAUUCCGUGUGGAAUGGAUCCUGUUGUGAGACUUGACCAUCAAUAUCCUUCUCUCCAUUUGUGGGGUACUGCCCACUUGAUCACUGCUGUGGAAAUCUGACUAACACACCCAAAUUCUCAACAACCCAAAACCACAGAUUCCUGCAUCCUUCCAUCCAUCUUUCUUUAAGUAAGAUAGACAUCCAUUUGGUCUUUGUUUUUCAUUUAUUUCACUUUCUCCCAAGAAUACUAAUCUUGUCUUUAUUGACUGAUUAGUUUCAUUAGAGAUCAUCCAAGCAAAAGAAUAUCACAUUUUAUAUUAAAAAAAAAAAAAGUAUUGAAUAUAUUAGAAAGAUAUCAUCCUCGAAAAGUUGGAAAUGUAAUCUUGUGCAAGGAAAGGAAACAAGGGAGAGUCUUAAAUAAAUUGUUUCCAAAAGAGACCUAAUGACCAAUGUCUUUAGGGGUGUAUCCUUCAUGUAUAUAAAUAAGAAUUGAAAGCGAGGGAAUAUGGAAGUUUAGGGACAAGAUUUUGUUUUCUAUGAAUAAAUUAAAUGUGGCUUCAUGACUUCCAACCCUUACUUCGUCUUUCUCCACAUUAAAUAGCCCUUUUGAAAGUAUCAGUGGAGAUUGGCCCGAUUCCAAUGGAAUCGAUCACCUUUUCCAUAAUGCAUAGUUUGAUUAUGUUAGGAUGAUUAGGUCACCAACCAUUUGCUAAGCGUCAUAUCUUUUUUCUACACCAACUCAAAAACCCCACUUGGCCAAUAUGUUUUUAUUUUUUAAAACCAAUAUAAAUAAGGCAUUAACACAUCCAUUCUCAUGUUCCUCUACCUAACGUUAACCAUUUUCAUAUCUCUAGCAUAUCUCCACCCAUAAUAUCUAAAUUUUGAAGUGAUUCUAGUAAAAAUACUUUUUAAAAAAAUACUUUAAUCAAAAACACAUCAAACAAAAAUACUAUCAAACGCACUUUUAAUUUAUAUUAUUUUUUAUCAGUAACACUUUUAUUAUAAAAAAAAAAAUACUUUUAGUGGUAAUCAUUUAAUAUUUGAAUAUACAAAUAAAAAAACCUUUUUUAUAAUAUAUUAGAAAAAAAAUGGUUUUUAAAAGAAACAUCCAUCAAUAUAUUAUAUCACAAAUUAUUGUCUUUAAAACCUAAUUUUUAUUAUUAAAAAAAUGCCAAAAUUACUACCAAAUCAAUUCUAAGAAUAGUUUGAAAAUGGGUUGAACUUUUAUAUUUAUCAAGAAAAAAUUGUAGAAGUAACCACUAUCUUUGAAAAUUAUAUGUCAAAAAUAUUUUUAUUAAAGAGAAAGAUAAUUAUAAUAAAGCUAGUUGUCAUUACUUUUCAAUAACACAAAGAAAUCAUAUGGAGCUUAUAAUCAAAAGUUCUUUUCAAAUGACUAACAAAGGUUUUUAUUCCUUGAGUUGUUUUUACUACUAUUUUUAUCAUUUACCUAUGUUAUUAAUGGUGAUUAAAUGAUAAAAAAAAUAUUUAAUGCAUAUUAAUUUCUUUUCACAUCCAAUUUUCAAGUGGAUGUGCUAUAAAAAUGUUGUAAAAUAAUUUUUUUUAAAUAACAUUUUCAUGUGUGAUUUUUUAUUCAUAAUUAGUUACAGAAAAAACUUAAAAUGCUUAGGUAUUAUUAAAACGACUCCAUUUCAUAUUUGACACCAACACAUGUUAUUUUAUCAUCUAAUAUUGUUAUAUUAAAAAACACUCAAUUUAACAUGAAUAUUAUUAUUAUUAUAUAUUUAAAAUUAUUUUAAUCUUUCUAUUUAAAAAAAAAAAAAAAUUGUAUGCAUUAUCCAUAUUCCCAUGAAAUCCAAACGUGUCCCAUGAUUGUAGACUAAUUCGUCUAUAGUGUGGACGCAAUGACAAGUCAGAAGUCUCCCAUUUCUUUUCUAGUCAAUGGGCAUGUUCCACAUUUAUUUAUGAUAUUUCGGAUUACACGAAGACUUCCAAAAGCAAUUGGUUUGAUAAGCUUCAUGGAAUCUGAAGAUAAAGGAGGAUGCUACUUCCACAUUCUUUAACCGAGCGUAUCAACCACGCUCUCUCUAAUUUUUCCAUAUUCUUAAUUUCUAAAAAAAAAAAAAUUCAAUAUGGUAUAUCUAUUUUAAAAUUAUCUUUUUGAUAGAUAUUUUAUAAAUUAUUAUAAAUUUUAAAAUAUUUUUUCAACUAUUAUCCAUCUCAAAUUAUUUCUAUAAACUACCUUUUUUUUUUAUUUUAUAUUAUCUAAUUUAAACAGUAACAAGAUGAUUUCACAUAUGUUUUUUUAAGUAUUAUUAUGUGUGUCAUUUUAUCUUAAUUUCAUUCGUUUGCAUGUUGGACUUACAACAUAAAUUUCAUUACAUAUAUUCAACCAUUUAGAAUUUUUGUUUGAUAUGUAAUACUCUACCCGAAUAUGUUCUCAAAUUAUGUAUGUUAUGGGGAUAUAUAUAGAUAUAUUAUGGUCUAUUCCAUUUCCAUCACUUCAUGAGUUUCCCCUAAUCCACUUACUCCACUCUCAAUAAUGAUGAACUAUAUCUUGAAAGUGAAGUUGGCUUCACUCAUCCCCCAUAAAAGACCUAUCCUCAGGAGUCAAGACACUCGAAUUUGAACUUGAAGAGGAUAGAUCCCUGACCACCACCAUCUAUUGUCUCCUAAUAGGGGAGAUAUUAUUAGCCUUUUUUUAUUCUUUUACCCCACCUUAACCAAAAAAUAAGAUAAUCUUAUUACAAGAUUAUAAAAGGAACUUACUUUUCUUUAUUUAUGAUAUUUUUCUUUAAAUAAUUCAACUUUAUUAAAGCUAAGUUAGAUGUAAAUUCUGAUUAUUCUACUUUUGACCAAAUCAUAGCGGUGACCAACACUAGCUAUUAAAAAAUUAAAAUAAGUGAAAAAAAAACACUUUUUUUUUUUUACUUUUAUUUUUUAGCAUUCAAUUGUUAGAGCUUCAAAACAAUGAACUAAAAAGAUAAAACUAAGUGCAAGUUAAAAUAGAGAAUAAGGAACUCAAACAUUUUAUAAGACAUACUUGACUAACAUAAGUGAAAAUAAUUUUUUUUAAAAUAUAGUUCUUGCUUUGUGUGAAACAAAGUAGUAUUAUUUUUAUAUUUAUUUCAUGUUAUCCAUAAAACAAUACAAAUAACUUCAAUAGUUUGAGUGCUCUCCAAUUUUUAAAAUUCACUCUCACAAUUUCAAGCUAUAUUUGCUAAAGCUAUACGUUGGAUUUCUAAAAAUGAGGGAAUAUAUAAGUUAAUGGAUGAAGGUUUGAUUUUAACAAUAAGGAUCGUGUUAUUGUGCUCAUACAAUUCGAACCAAAAUAUACGCAACAACUCUUAAAAGUAAUGAUGUAAUGUUACUUAUGUUGGAUUUUAUGAAAAUAUCAAUAAAAAUACUUAUAUUCGUGUAAAUUUUUUGUGGUAUCUUAUAAACAUUUUAUGUUUUAUUGCUUUAUAUAUAAAUCUAAUUUCAUUUCAUUCAUCUAUAUUUAUCUUAUCUAUUUAUGCUUUAACCCCAUAUAUUUUUAUUUUCAUUCAAUAUAAAUUUUAUUAUAUAUUUUCAAUGAUAAAAACAGAUGUACAUUUAAUACCCAAACUUUUUCUAACAUUAAAGUAAAUAUAAUUUCACGAAUUUCAUAUUUUCUAUCAUCUUUACCAAAAUAAAUCGAAUGGGGUUGAUCACUUUUUUCCCAUUCCAUGAUUUGAUUGCGUGAAGAUGAUUCCAUCACCAACCAUUUACUAAGAUGUGACACCCAUUUUCUACACCAACUCAAACACUCCCCUUUUGUUAAUAGCUUUUAGCCGAUAGAAAGAAGUGAACAAAACCGUUUUCACAUUUCACCUACCAAGGCUAAGAAAUAUAAAUAGAAAUAGAAAUAAUUACUAUUUGUUAAAUAUAUAUUUUAUGUUUUAAAUAUAUAUUUUUAUUAAAAAUAAAAAUAAUCAUGAUAUUAAUUUGUUAAAAUUUACUCUUACAUCAUCUAAUAUAAAUGAAUCAUGUACGAAAAUGCAAGAAUUAUGAUCAAGAGUUCCAUCCAGCCAAUUAUAAAAAUGAUGUUUUACCUUUAACACAGGCUCUUCUAAUUCAAAUCUUUAUUCAUUUUCUCUUAUUGUUAUUAUUUAAAUAUAUGAUUAAUCAUGAUUAGAUAUUACAAAAACUUUCAUAUUUAAUAUAUUCUUUUAUCAUCGAUUAAGUUUGAACUUUUUUUUUGUUUGUGUAUAUCUUUAUACUUUUUCUUCUUACAAUUUUUUUUUUCACAUUUUAAUAUUUUUAUCAUAUACCAAAGCUUCAUUUAAAAUUUUCGUGUUUUUGAUCAUUUUUUAUUUGUAUAAAAAUUUACAUGAAUAUAAAUAUUUUUAUUGAUAUUCUGAUAAAAUCCAACAGCAGGGACAUUUCAUCAUUGCUUCUUGAGGUGGUGCGUGUAUAGUGCAUAUAGCAUGGGAAUAAGGACACGUCUCCUUUCUGACUAUUCAAUUCAAUGCCCUUUCACAUUCAUUUAUUAAUUGUUUGGACUAUAUGAAGACUUGUGAAAGCAACCUUCCCCCGUUUUCUUGACGCAAGCUGCUACUUCCACGUGAGCAUGCCAAACACGCUUAGGGCCUGUUUGUUGGUGUUUUCAAAUACAUUUUUGGAAACAGUUUUUAGUGUUUUCAGAAAUAAAAUUAUAUUUGAAAACUAAAUUCUAAAAAAUAAUUUUUAUUCUCGAAAAUAAAAAGAAUAAAAAAACAUGUUUAGUUCAAUUAAUAAAAAUAAUUUUUAAUAACAAAUAAAACAAAAAAACUUGUUUGGAAAAUAUUAUUGUUGGUUUUGUUUUUUAAAGUCGAGUAUUUUAUUUAACUAAUUGAUGUUGUAAAUAUAUAAAUAAUUUUUCUUCAUAAAAAUAAAAAUGUUCCAUUUUGAACAUUUUUUACAUCAAUUUUAAUUUUUUUAAACAAAUUAUUACUUUGUAAACAUGUCUAAAUAUGUUUGAUUUCAAUAAUUGAUAAACCAUUUUAUCAAAAUAUCAUAAAUCGAUAAAUAUCAAUAAUUAGAUUUUAUGAAGAUAAAAUUUAUGAUAUCAAAUAAUAAUGCAUUAUACUUGGAAAUUGAUGAUCUAUCUUUUCUACUAAUAAUAUAUUUAUGAUAAUUUUUUAUUUAAAAAUAUUUAUAAUUUUAUUUUAAAUUAAAUUUUAUUUUAUAUUUAAGAAUUAUAUAAAAGAUAAUUUUUUUUAAAGUAAAUCAAACUAAUUUAUUUAUAAAAAUUUAUUAAUUUUUACUUGGAAUCCUUGUUCUCUUUUCUCUCCUUCUCCUCAUAUUCUCUUUGUUUCUCUUCCAAGACUCAAACUUUUAUUCAGUGAAAUUGAAUUAUUUCUCUCCUCAAAUAUCAACUCAAUAAAGUCAAAAGUCAAAAUCUAGAUCUAUGAUUGUUGUAAAGAUUCUUGGUUACGAUUUCAUCUUUUAUGUUAUUGUUUAUGUUUUUGUUUGGUUUUUGAGAAAUCCUAGAAUUUAUGGAAGUUUCAGCUUUGAAAUGCAUUAAAAAAAACAUAUUAGGAUAAAAUCCCAAAAUAUCCGAAAAAUAUUGAAAUGGAAAUAAAGAAAAAAUAAAUAAAAAUAAAAAUUGUCGAUUAAGUUGAAUUUUUGUUAAACCGAAUUUUCAAUUUUCUAAUUUUUCCCAUUUUCCUUGGCAGUAUAAAAAAAAAAAAGAUAUAACAAUUUUUCUUUUUCUUUUUUAACUUCACAACACAAAAAACAUCAUUUUAAAACCAAGUUUUAGAAAAUUGAGAACAAAAAAACACUCUCUUAUCAAACAUGAUUUUUGUGUUUUUUGUUCUAAAAAAAAAACAGUUUUUGAAAACACUAACCAAACAAAUCCUUAAUGACUCAUUUUUCUUUUUUCUUUUUUACUUAUUUGUUUAUUCUGUUUUCUGUUUUUAUUUAUAAAGAAAAUAAAAAUCAAGUUUAAAACACAUGUUUAGAUAUUAUUCUUAAUUUUCAUUCUUGAAAAAUUGAGUUCAAAAAAGGUCAAAAAUGAAAAUAAUAAUUUGGUGCUUUUAAUUUUUUUUUUUAUGGCAAUGUUUUUCAAUCUAACAUAAAAAUAGAAAUAUUAUCUUUAGAAUUAAUUAUAAAAUUAUAGUCAAUAAUUUUGUACAUUAUUUUAAAAUAAAAAUAUAAUCAAAUACAAAAUAAUAAAAUAAAACAAGGAACAAAUAUGAUAUAAUAACAUAUAGUAGCAUAUAAUAUAUAAUGUAUAAUAUCAAUAAAUAACAACUAAUAAAAUUAUUAUAUAUGUUAUAUUGUAUGCGCAUGAGGUUUUUGGUAAAUCAAUUUAAUGUUUUAAAGUGACUUCAUAACUUGAUUUAAAUUAUUAAAUAAAUUAAAAUUUUGAUAAAAUAAUUUAAUAUCAGAAUUUAAAAUAAAAAUAAUUUUAAGUGUUAAGUCAAAAUAGUUAAUUUAUUCUUAAUGUCAAAUCAUUUUUAUUAGAUUUUUACUUUGUUUGGUAAAAUUGAGUUAAUAUUUUGAAAUUAUCAAAUUUACAUAUUUAUUUUUCUUAAUUUUAAGUAAUAAAUUUAUUUGUUACACGUUUCCAAAUAUAUAAAAUAAUUACAAUAAUUACUAAAUAUUUAGCUUAAAGAAAAUGAGUCAUGGAUAUAAGUCAUGCAUAUUAUAUAAAUUAGUAUUACAUGUGUGAGUAAAUAAGAUAGAAAUGAUUUAACAUUCAAAAUAAAUUUAUUAUUUUAAUUUAAUAUUUAAGAAUUAGUUUUAAUAUUUAAUAACUCAAAUUAAGUUAUUAAUCCAUUAUAUUGAUUAAUUUAUCAAACACCUUUUAAAAAUCUUUUUUUUUAGUGCCCAAAAAUAAAAUCAAUAAAAUUAUAUUAGUUUUUUGUUCGUCUCACGAUUUAUUUUAUAUGUUGAUCUUACAUUCCAAUUAUUGAUACUUUAAUAACAUACAUUUUGUAUCACCGUGAAAUCAUCUAAACUUAACCUUGCACUGUUGGUACUGAACAACUCCGUGUGUUACAUGCUGGAUGGCCUAGAAUUUUCCUUCUUCCUGUGGUUAGUUGCAAUAGAUUUUCCGGCACUGCAACGUUGGACACGACAGUUGAAGGAGCGCGGACUUAAAAGUAAAAGUGACGUGGAAAAUGAGAGAAAAGAUAUAAAAAGAAUAUGCUGAGGUCACAUUGCCAUUGUCAAUCGAAUCAUAAUUGUGGAAAUGAAUUCUCUAGUGGACCAACCAGCAGCGUGUUGAGUGGCACCCCGGCGCCCACGCCCCAUUGGUCAGCUUGCUUUUGUGGUGUGCAAGGUUUAUUCCAAACCUUUUGAUCAGUGGUUAUACAAGUAGCACAAAUCCGUGUGAGUAGCACAAAACACUGAGUUCAUUGGUCGUGGCUCCUUCGCAAUUAAUUCCAACAAGCAGGUCAGUUUGUAAAAUUCAGUAUAAUAAAUUCUGUCAGCGCCCCAGAUUUUGAAAUUGAACCGUUGGUUUCCACCACAUUCCCAGCAUUCUUCCUCCCAACUUUUGCCCGGCCAUCUUCCUACCUCCUCACAGAGAAUCCGGUAACGAACUCAACGUCACAAAAUGCCGAAACUACCCUUUUUAUUUGCCACAAUUCCAUUUCCCGACCAUCUUCCUCCCUUCUCACAUAGAAGUCGGUAACAAACUCAACGUCACAAAAUGCCGAAACUACCCUUAUUAUUU
Molecule: long non-coding RNA, 18668 nt
Filed under: Vitis vinifera (wine grape)
Lineage: Eukaryota; Viridiplantae; Streptophyta; Magnoliopsida; Vitales; Vitaceae
Description: long non-coding RNA (VVIN_LNC000902)
Source: RNAcentral